Molecule: ribosomal RNA, 497 nt
Filed under: uncultured bacterium
Lineage: Bacteria
Description: partial 16S ribosomal RNA
Rfam family: Bacterial small subunit ribosomal RNA
Source: RNAcentral
GAUGAACGCUGGCGGCGUGCCUAAUACAUGCAAGUCGAGCGAACGGACGAGAAGCUUGCUUCUCUGAUGUUAGCGGCGGACGGGUGAGUAACACGUGGAUAACCUGCCUAUAAGACUGGGAUAACUUCGGGAAACCGGAGCUAAUACCGGAUAAUAUUUUGAACCGCAUGGUUCAAAAGUGAAAGACGGUCUUGCUGUCACUUAUAGAUGGAUCCGCGCUGCAUUAGCUAGUUGGUAAGGUAACGGCUUACCAAGGCAACGAUGCAUAGCCGACCUGAGAGGGUGAUCGGCCACACUGGAACUGAGACACGGUCCAGACUCCUACGGGAGGCAGCAGUAGGGAAUCUUCCGCAAUGGGCGAAAGCCUGACGGAGCAACGCCGCGUGAGUGAUGAAGGUCUUCGGAUAGUAAAACUCUGUUAUUAGGGAAGAACAUAUGUGUAAGUAACUGUGCACAUCUUGACGGUACCUAAUCAGAAAGCCACGGCUAACUACGUG